This 775-nucleotide ribosomal RNA is filed under the name uncultured bacterium. Its description in RNAcentral is "bacterial SSU rRNA". It matches the Rfam family "Bacterial small subunit ribosomal RNA", at positions 8 to 796 of the family's 1533-position model. The record is from RNAcentral.
AGAGUUUGAUCCUGGCUCAGAGCGAACGCUGGCGGCGUGCUUAACACAUGCAAGUCGAACGGGUGUAGCAAUACAUCCGUGGCGAACGGGUGCGUAACACGUGGAUAACCUUCCUUCAGGUGGGGAAUAACCCAGUGAAAAUUGGGCUAAUACCGCAUAACAUUUCGGGGGCACAUGCCUCUGAAUUCAAAGGCGCAAGUCGCCAGAAGAGGGAUCCGCGGCCGAUUAGCUAGUUGGCGGGGUAACGGCCCACCAAGGCAAAGAUCGGUAGCUGGACUGAGAGGUUGGCCAGCCACACUGGAACUGAGACACGGUCCAGACUCCUACGGGAGGCAGCAGUGGGGAAUCUUGCACAAUGGGCGAAAGCCUGAUGCAGCAACGCCGCGUGGGGGAUGAAGCUUUUCGGAGUGUAAACCCCUUUCGACCCGGAAGAAAGCCCGCAAGGGUUUGACGGUACGGGUAUAAGAAGCCCCGGCUAACUACGUGCCAGCAGCCGCGGUAAUACGUAGGGGGCCAGCGUUGCUCGGAAUUACUGGGCGUAAAGGGUCUGUAGGCUGUGUGGCAAGUCGAGAGUGAAAUCCCUGGGCUUAACUCAGGGGCUGCUAACGAAACUGCCAUGCUAGAGUGUGAGAGAGGCGAGUGGAAUUACGGGUGUAGCGGUGAAAUGCGUAGAUAUCCGUAGGAACAUCCGAGGCGAAGGCGGCUUGCUGGAUCACAACUGACGCUGAGAGACGAAAGCUAGGGGAGCAAACAGGAUUAGAUACCCUAGUAGUCC